Molecule: ribosomal RNA, 140 nt
Filed under: uncultured bacterium
Lineage: Bacteria
Description: partial 16S ribosomal RNA
Rfam family: Bacterial small subunit ribosomal RNA
Source: RNAcentral
GUGGGGAAUAUUGCACAAGUGGGGGGAACCCGUGAUGCAGCGACGCCGCGUGAAGGAAGAAGUAUCUCGGUAUGUAAACUUCUAUCAGCAGGGAAGACAAUGACGGUACCUGACUAAGAAGCCCCGGCUAACUACGUGCC